Molecule: long non-coding RNA, 853 nt
Organism: Myzus persicae (green peach aphid)
Lineage: Eukaryota; Metazoa; Arthropoda; Insecta; Hemiptera; Aphididae
Exons: 6
Source: RefSeq, a predicted model, not a curated record
AUUUUUUUGGGGAAAGCUGUUAUUAUCAACUAUCAAGACGUUAUUGUAUUAUAGUUAUUGCUAUCAUCUUUAUUGGUUUUUUACACGAUACUGUCAAAUCUUCUUUUGUAUUUUGUUAUUUGUACUUAUCGAUCAUUGGUAAAUAAUAUUGUAAGACUCAACUUCGCCGGUAUUCAGUUGUUAUAUUAUUCUAUAAUGCGUAGGUAUUCAUUGUUUUGUUAUUUAGCGAUGUUAAUGAUAGUACGAACGUGAAACGACCAUAUUAUGGCCAAAUUCUAAUUACCUACGUAUUUUAGUUUUGUAAAUUGUUGUGAUUAUAGACUGUCGUCUAGUCGUCCGUCGAUUAAACCAUUUGCAUAAGAAAUAAAACAAAUACCAUGUAUAUGAAACCAAUUGAUUUCAAUUCAGAUGGAUACUGGAUAAUGAGUGAGACACCUUCUACAUAAGUUGGUUUAUGCUUAUCUGUCAUUUAUCUUCUAGCUUUCACUGAUGAGUUAAACUAACUGAAAAUUUAAUUAGUUCAAGAUGUAGCUGAAGUAGUGAAUGUUGUUGCUGACGACAUUAUAAUUCAGUUUUGGCUAAUUGGAGAUCGACCAAAAACUUCCGGGUGUACAUCAAAAUGAAGAGGUUAUCGAGGAUAAUUUAGGGUUUCUUUACUUUAGAAGUAAAUUGACAGAAAAAAAAGUCAAAAGCCCGCAAAUAAGAAACAACACAAUUUGUAAAACAUAACAGUGCAUUAUAUAAUGAAAAUAAUAUUUAAAAUGUAAAGAAACUUCAACGAAUGGAUACCCAGCAACUGCUAUUAUUUCUUCGAUUAUUGAGGACAAUGGUUUUUCACUCAGAAGAUUGCAUA